This is a non-coding RNA of Cinara cedri, 247 nucleotides long. The record is from the annotation of a GenBank genome assembly. NCBI's taxonomy places the organism in Eukaryota, Metazoa, Arthropoda, Insecta, Hemiptera, Aphididae.
UAUUUAGAAUGACAUAACGAAUUAUUUUGUGAGCAUUAAUUUGAAAAAAUAAAUACAAUUAUUUCCUAAAAGUACUAUCCGUAUUUUUUAUGUAUUCAUUGGAAUUUUUUUUCGGAUUUUCGUUCUGCCUCAAAAAAUGUUACGAAAUUGAUUGCGGCUUUUUCGCUCGGAUAGUAGUAUAUAGUCUGUGAUUAUAAUACAUUUUAAUCUGUGAACUCAUUAUCAUAUAAUAGAAAAAUUAGUCCGU